RNAcentral lists this ribosomal RNA (253 nucleotides) under uncultured bacterium. RNAcentral's name for it is "partial 16S ribosomal RNA". It matches the Rfam family "Bacterial small subunit ribosomal RNA", at positions 524 to 776 of the family's 1533-position model. The record is from RNAcentral.
UACGAAGGGGGCUAGCGUUGUUCGGAAUUACUGGGCGUAAAGCGCACGUAGGCGGAUAUUUAAGUCAGGGGUGAAAUCCCAGAGCUCAACUCUGGAACUGCCUUUGAUACUGGGUAUCUCGAGUAUGGAAGAGGUGAGUGGAAUUCCGAGUGUAGAGGUGAAAUUCGUAGAUAUUCGGAGGAACACCAGUGGCGAAGGCGACUCACUGGACACGUAUUGACGCUGAGGUGCGAAAGCGUGGGGAGCAAACAGG